CAGUAGCCGCGGUAAUACGUAGGGUCCGAGCGUUGUCCGGAAUUAUUGGGCGUAAAGGGCUCGUAGGCGGUUUGUUGCGUCGGGAGUGAAAACCCAGGGCUUAACUUUGGGCUUGCUUUCGAUACGGGCAGACUUGAGGCAUUGAGGGGAGAACGGAAUUCCUGGUGUAGCGGUGAAAUGCGCAGAUAUCAGGAGGAACACCGGUGGCGAAGGCGGUUCUCUGGCAAUGUUCUGACGCUGAGGAGCGAAAGUGUGGGGAGCGAACAGGAUUAGAUACCCCAGUAGUCCCUGUCUCUUAUAA
Molecule: ribosomal RNA, 301 nt
Filed under: uncultured bacterium
Lineage: Bacteria
Description: partial 16S ribosomal RNA
Rfam family: Bacterial small subunit ribosomal RNA
Source: RNAcentral